This is a long non-coding RNA of Bombus huntii, 2125 nucleotides long. RefSeq lists it as uncharacterized. Lineage: Eukaryota; Metazoa; Arthropoda; Insecta; Hymenoptera; Apidae. The record is from RefSeq and is a predicted model, not a curated record. The transcript is spliced from 2 exons.
GGCGGUAAAUUUAACAGUAUAUUGCAUAUGUUUAAAAAACUUACAAACGAAAACCAAAGGAGAAAAACAUGAUAAGUUGUACUUUUCAAUUUUGACAAGAAAGCGAUUUAAAAAUUUGAUCCUAAUAUGGAAUUGUCAUAUUCCUUUCAUGCGGUCUUCAAAUAAUAUACAAUAAUCGUAUUAAAGGAUGAUAUAUAACAAGUAUACGAAUAGCUGCUAAAGUAAUAUAUAUAUAUUUCUUUAACGAAAUUGUUCGUAUAGGAUACUAUGUUUUACGGAUAAGAUAAAUAAUAAAAGUAUGUGUAAAUAUGUAUUUCUAACAUGUUGUAUAUGUUACAUUCUCUAUUAAUCUAUUAUUUUUUUGAAAUUAGUUUUAACUGAGGAAUAAAUAUUCAUAUAUUAUAAAGUUCUUUCCGGUCAUUAUCAGUUUUAAAUAUUGUACUACUUUAUUCAAAUACUAUAUCAAUAUUUCUUAGCAAUAUAAAUAAACGAUUGUUUUAUGAAGUGUUCGAUAAUAUAGGAGCAUUAAAUAUUUUUUGUUAAAGCAAGUUUCAUUUUAAAAUUAUUUGGAAUUAUAUACUUAUACACAUUUGUCAAUUGUAUAUUGAUAUACACGUGACUUGACUCACGUGAUUUCCGAUUUCUAGUUUCAGCUAUAGUUAACAAUUUCCUGGUUUGAAUGUGAAAAGUGCAGAAAGCGUGGGAUGUAUUUCCCAUUUGAAUAUUUCAGAUGGUUGUGUUAAAAAUGGUAUAUUAUCACGAAAAGUGGCGUUAUAGUACUAAAGAAAAGAUAUCGAAUACGAUAUCUAGAAAUAUCGUAGGUCCUUUUUAUAGAUAUAGAAGGCACAAAUAAUGAUGCCACUAUGUGGUAAAUACAUAGACAAGAAAUUAUUGCCAGAUUAGUUAGUCAAAUCAUACUGUUGUAAUGACAACUGUAUUUAAAAUCAUGGAACUUGCUGUACAGACAAAAUAUAGUAUAAAUUUGUCUUAAAAACAUUCAAACAUCGUAAUCCAUAUACAAACAUAGGAAUUAUAUUCACUGGAAUUGUUGAAAACAGAUAUCGAUAAAAUCAAUAGCAUCUCAAGUAAUAGUCAACUAAUUGACCAAAUAUAGAAUGCUAUACAUAUAAUAUACAGCAUAGAGCUUGCAUUUUAUGGAUCCUUGUGUUCCAUAUUCUGAAAUACUGAUUAUAUAAAAAAUUAAUGUUUCUUAUGUCCUCUGUGAUUUAUAGCAAUGGAUGUAGGAAUUAUAUUUAAUCCAACUAACAAAAUUGAUAAAGUCACAGACGAUGCGUAUUUGUCAUCAGUCAUCAGUACAAUCCCACUGAGGAUGGAAAGAAUGGCAAAUAGAGAAAAGGGAAAAGUAUGUACAUACAUACUUAUUACUAAUACACUUAUUCUUUCCUUAUACAAAUUAUAUGGUUGUUGUAUAUACUAUGUACAAUCAUAACUAAAGCUUAUUGUUAAUGUUAAAGAUGGCUCUUGUAUAUGCUAUGCCAGAUUGUAAAAGUAUUUACAAAUGCAACGGUAGUAUUGCCUUUUUAAAACAUCAAAAAAUUCAAACUUGGAAAUAUAUGGGAAAAAGCUAUUCCUGAUAUAAGAGAACUAAAGGCAAGGCCCUUAAUAUAUGAGAAACAUUUUAAAGAGGAAUUUAUAAAAAAAAAGAAUUGUUCAAAAAGGUUAUUGUAAUAAUUUUUUAUAUAAUUAGUAUUAUUUUGUACAUAUAUAUUAUGCUGUGUAGUAUUAUAUACAAAAAAUUGAAUAAAAUGUAGGUAUGUAUAUAGAAAAUUGUACAUUAUUUACUGUAUAGUUUGCGAUAGUUUAAAUAUUGUAUAGUUGGUGUUAAGGAUAAUGUAUCAGCGAUCUUGCGUAUGAUCCAAUAGUUCUGUAUUUAUUGGAAAAAUGAUAUAUUUCAUAAACUAUAUAACAAAUAACGUGGAAAAACUUCUUUAUUAACAUUCUACCUUCAAAAAGCAAUCCCAUAUUUUUACUUUUAUAAAAUUACUUUUAUCUUGUUCUUUCUUAUAAAAAAAAGAGUGGUUUCCGUACUGUUCCUCUUUUACCUAAUAAUUAUAUUUCAUUUCUGUCGAAAUGUCUCCAAUAAAUAAUGAUUUUUUCUUGGUUA